ACUCCGUUUUGAAAGAAAAUACCUCAUUACAUUAAUAUUACAGUUUUUCACAUGCAUAUUGAAAUUUUUUAAAUUAAAUAGCAAUAAAUUAAAAUUAAAACUAUUUAUUGUCAAAUUAUAAUUAAUUAAAUACUGACCUCAGUGUUACUGCUAACCGUUCGACUACUGAUAUACAUUUUCUAAAAUUUGUGUUUGUUUUUUGUAUAUCGGGUUUAUAUGCUCUAACAAUUGGCAAAAUUGUUUGUAACUUAUUCGGAAAUAUUGAAAAAAUUGUUUAUUGUCCUGUUUUAAAUCUAGGAAUAGUUUAUAGAACUCUCCUUUUUUCCUUGCCAUAUGCAUGCUAUGAAUCCACUAUCUUUUCGUUGUAUAUUUUUCUUUUUCUUCAGAUUCUAACAAAAGAGCUAGUGUGAAUAUCAUGUCUUUUGUUACUACUUGUAUCACUCAUUAUAUUAUAUUAUUAUUUAUAUUUUACAAACACUCAAAAAUAUUAAAUAUAAUUAAUGUAAUAAUGAGCUUUAUUGAUUUCAACCAUUGAGCACGAGCAAUGAGAUCAAAAUGGCCAAGAAUAUAUGGCCGCGGAAUUCAAGCUGAUUCCGGCAUAGUGUGCAGACAAAAUUUGUUUCCGUUCUGAUGAUGUAAAUUUGUUUCCUUUACGCUCCUAUCUAGUGUGUGGCAACCUUUAUAAUGAUCUAAUGUUUCAUGGUUUUGCUUCCAAAAUAUCCAUAUUCUAAUAUUUUAUCUAUUUUGAAAUAAAUUGAAUCCUCUGUGUUAUAUGCUUAUAAUAUUGUUAUUUUGUAUAUAUUAUAGUAAGAUUUAAUUUGUAUGUAAUAAUAUUUAAACGUAGAUCAAAUAAAAUAGAUAAAAAAUUGUUCAACUGGAAUGAAUAUGUCGAAUACAUAGAAUGUAGAAAUUCAGUCUUAUCUGAGUACAACUAUAUGUUGCAUAAAGAUUUAUAUGGAAAUAGUAUACGCAAAACUCAGUUAUUUAUCAAUGAUUGGAACAUUAAGAAGUCGACUAUGCCAAUAGUAAAAAGUAAUAAUCUCAUUAACCUUUUACUUAAAUAUUUAUUUAUUUAACCAAAAUGUUGUUUAUACUGAAUAGCUGAACAAUUAAGUAAGGGCUUUAGAGAAAGUACUGAAUGUUUAUUAAAAUCAUUGCCUAGAGAUAAAAAAGAAAAAAGUUAUAGAGGAAUUCCUGCUUCAACCAAACCAUUGUCAUCAACUUUAAAAUGGAUAUUUGAAUAUUAUUCAAUGCAAUUAAGUGACGAAACAAAAAGAAUACUAAAACAAAAUUUUAUUCAAACUGAUAUUUUGUAUUUAACUGACAAAAACAGGUACUUUUUUACACAAUAAAAUAUCAAUAUCAAAUAACCAAUUUUUAAAUUAUAGCAAAUUUACACUGCUGUAUGAUAAGCCUAAAGCUACUAUAAAAACAAACUUUUUCUUUUUACAAUAAUCAAUUAACAGAAUUUAUGAACUGUGUAAUUUACAAAUUAUAUUUAUUAAAUCAGUCAUUAAAUUAAUAUAUAUAAUUGAUUAUUUGAAAGCAGUGCCAUGCAUAGUGGGGAGAUUAAAAGUUUAUCCCCAUUGAUUUAAAAAUGCAAACAAAAUUAAGUAUUUAUUUAGUAAUUUAAUCUUGAAAUUUAUAUAUUUUAGUUGAGGAAAAGCUUGAUGUAAAUAAUAAUAAUAGGUAAUAUUAUCUCA
This 1703-nucleotide long non-coding RNA is filed under the name Cinara cedri. The record is from RNAcentral. Lineage: Eukaryota; Metazoa; Arthropoda; Insecta; Hemiptera; Aphididae.